This 1280-nucleotide ribosomal RNA is filed under the name metagenome. Its description in RNAcentral is "bacterial LSU rRNA". It matches the Rfam family "Bacterial large subunit ribosomal RNA", at positions 1610 to 2925 of the family's 2925-position model. The record is from RNAcentral.
AAGAAAAGCGAUGAUCAUGUUGAAAAUCAAUUCCCGGUACCCGAAACCGACACAGGUGGGCGAGUAGAGAAUACUAAGGGGCGCGAGGUAACUCUCUCCAAGGAACUCGGCAAAAUGACCCCGUAACUUAGGGAGAAGGGGUGCCACCGAGAGGUGGUCGCAGUGAAGAGGCCCAGGCGACUGUUUAGCAAAAACAUAGGUCUCUGCAAACUCGAAAGAGGAGGUAUAGGGGCUGACGCCUGCCCAGUGCCGGAAGGUUAAAGAAGUUGGUCAGUCUUAGGAUGAAGCUAGCGACUGAAGCCCCGGUGAACGGCGGCCGUAACUAUAACGGUCCUAAGGUAGCGAAAUUCCUUGUCGGGUAAGUUCCGACCCGCACGAAAGGCGUAACGAUCUGGGCGCUGUCUCGGAGAGAGGCUCGGCGAAAUAGGAUUGUCUGUGAAGAUACGGACUACCUGCAUUUGGACAAAAGACCCUAUGAAGCUUUACUAUAGCUUGGAAUUGUGUUCGGGCUUCCUGUGCGCAGGAUAGGUGGGAGGCGUAGAAGGUAUUCUUGUGGGGAUACUGGAGCCAACGGUGAGAUACCACUCUCAGGAGGCUAGAAUUCUAACUUAAUUAAGGACAGUUUCAGGUGGGUAGUUUGACUGGGGCGGUCGCCUCCAAAAAGGUAACGGAGGCGUACAAAGGUUCCCUCAGACUGGUUGGAAAUCAGUCGAAGAGUGCAAAGGCAGAAGGGAGCUUGACUGCGAGAAGUACAGUUCGAGCAGGGUGGAAACACGGUCUUAGUGAUCCGACGGUGCUGUGUGGAAGGGCCGUCGCUCAACGGAUAAAAGUUACUCUAGGAUAACAGGCUGAUCUCCCCCAAGAGUUCACAUCGACGGGGAGGUUUGGCACCUCGAUGUCGGCUCAUCGCAACCUGGGGCGGAAGUACGUCCCAAGGGUUGGGCUGUUCGCCCAUUAAAGCGGUACGUGAGCUGGGUUCAGAACGUCGUGAGACAGUUCGGUCCAUAUCCGAUGUAGGCGUGAGAAUAUUGAGAGGAGCCUUCCUUAGUACGAGAGGACCGGGAAGGACGCACCGCUGGUGUACCUGUUAUGAUGCCAAUUGUAAACGCAGGGUAGCCAAGUGCGGAGAGGAUAACCGCUGAAAGCAUCUAAGUGGGAAGCCCCACCUCAAGAUGAGUAUUCUGGUGUAAGGUCACGGGAAGACGACCCGUAAAUAGGCACGAGGUGGAAGUGCAGAGAUGUAUGAAGCCGAAGUGUACUAAUAGACCGUCGGCUUGACC